UACGGAGGGAGCUAGCGUUGUUCGGAAUUACUGGGCGUAAAGCGCGCGUAGGCGGCUUUGUAAGUUAGAGGUGAAAGCCCGGGGCUCAACCCCGGAAUUGCCUUUAAGACUGCAUCGCUUGAAUCCGGGAGAGGUGAGUGGAAUUCCGAGUGUAGAGGUGAAAUUCGUAGAUAUUCGGAAGAACACCAGUGGCGAAGGCGGCUCACUGGACCGGCAUUGACGCUGAGGUGCGAAAGCGUGGGGAGCAAACGGG
This 253-nucleotide ribosomal RNA is filed under the name uncultured bacterium. RNAcentral's name for it is "partial 16S ribosomal RNA". It matches the Rfam family "Bacterial small subunit ribosomal RNA", at positions 524 to 776 of the family's 1533-position model. The record is from RNAcentral.